UAGCUCAUACCUCUCCUCAAUACUACGAGAUAGCCUUUCGCCUUUUACUAAAGACUACCGUGGGGAGGGGCAGUCCAAUGAGCCUAUAGGUGAAUUUUUGAAAGGCUGCUACCGUUUGGUAGUAG
Molecule: non-coding RNA, 125 nt
Organism: Ixodes scapularis (black-legged tick)
Lineage: Eukaryota; Metazoa; Arthropoda; Arachnida; Ixodida; Ixodidae
Source: Rfam